UGAAGUUGGAAAGUAUCAGCUAACGAACCUCUGCUAACUUGGUUAGCUUGGUUAGCCUGCUGCAUUAGUAAAUAAUUUGUAAUUCAAAGUGACAUUAAAUACAGUGAUAAGUUUGGUUUUUGAAAAACAAUUUUAAAACCAAAUACUUGAAAAAAUAGAGUUACCUUUAGUACAUCCUAAUGCUGAACAAGAAGAUAUCAAUCAGAGAGCCUCUCCCUUAAUCCUGAAGCCUUAAUCUAACUCAAACUGCUCCUGUCAGAAAAUGUUUGUCGAAUGUGAAAAAGAGUUUCCCACAGCCCAGUGCACAAGACGAAUCCAUCAGCCGGACAUAAAGGGCCUCCACAGCAUUACUGGGUCCCUGUGAAACUCCGCCAAUUACAAACAGCAUGUUGGUCACCUGCAGAAGAGCAGAGGAGCAGCGCGCGGUGGGCAUGGGUGCCACGUACUCCCAGCGCCGCUUCACCGGGUUAU
Molecule: long non-coding RNA, 471 nt
Organism: Oreochromis aureus
Lineage: Eukaryota; Metazoa; Chordata; Actinopteri; Cichliformes; Cichlidae
Exons: 3
Source: RefSeq, a predicted model, not a curated record